UGGGGAAUUGUUCGCAAUGGGCGCAAGCCUGACGACGCAACGCCGCGUGGAGGAUGAAGGUCUUCGGAUUGUAAACUCCUGUUGAUCGGGACGAAAAGCUUCAACCUAAUACGUUGAAGACUGACGGUACCGGUUGAGGAAGCCACGGCUAACUCUGUGCCAGCAGCCGCGGUAAUACAGAGGUGGCAAGCGUUGUUCGGAAUUACUGGGCGUAAAGGGCUCGUAGGCGGCCAACUAAGUCAGACGUGAAAUCCCUCGGCUUAACCGGGGAACUGCGUCUGAUACUGGAUGGCUUGAAUCCGGGAGAGGGAUGUGGAAUUCCAGGUGUAGCGGUGAAAUGCGUAGAUAUCUGGAGGAACACCGGUGGCGAAGGCGGCAUCCUGGACCGGUAUUGACGCUGAGUGAGCGAAAGCCAGGGGAGCAAACGGGAUUAGAUACCCAGGUAGUCCCUGAGCGGGCUGGCAAGGCGCAU
RNAcentral lists this ribosomal RNA (472 nucleotides) under uncultured bacterium. RNAcentral's name for it is "bacterial SSU rRNA". It matches the Rfam family "Bacterial small subunit ribosomal RNA", at positions 355 to 825 of the family's 1533-position model. The record is from RNAcentral.